GUGAGGAAUAUUGCGCAAUGGAGGCAACUCUGACGCAGCCAUGCCGCGUGCAGGAAGAAGGCGCUACGCGUUGUAAACUGCUUUUAACCGGGAAGAAACCCCAGGACGUGUCCUGGGUUGACGGUACCGGAGGAAUAAGCACCGGCUAACUUCGUGCCAGCAGCCGCGGUAAUACGAAGGGUGCAAGCGUUAUCCGGAUUCAUUGGGUUUAAAGGGUGCGUAGGCGGAGCGUUAAGUCAGUGGUGAAAUCCUGCAGCUUAACUGUAGACUUGCCAUUGAUACUGGCGCUCUUGAGUGCACUGGAAGUGGGCGGAAUGUGCCGUGUAGCGGUGAAAUGCUUAGAUAUGGCACAGAACACCAAUUGCGAAGGCAGCUCACUAAGGCGAUACUGACGCUGAGGCACGAAAGCGUGGGGAUCGAACAGGAUUAGAUACCCGGGUAGUCC
Molecule: ribosomal RNA, 445 nt
Filed under: uncultured bacterium
Lineage: Bacteria
Description: partial 16S ribosomal RNA
Rfam family: Bacterial small subunit ribosomal RNA
Source: RNAcentral